This is a non-coding RNA of Rattus norvegicus (Norway rat), 2506 nucleotides long. The record is from RefSeq and is a predicted model, not a curated record. NCBI's taxonomy places the organism in Eukaryota, Metazoa, Chordata, Mammalia, Rodentia, Muridae.
CUCAGUGGUAGAGCGCUUGCCUAGCAAGCACAAGGCCCUGGGUUCGGUCCCCAGCUCCGGAAAAAAAAAAAAAAAAGUUUAGACCUCACGAUGUUAAUUCUUCCUUAGGGAAGACCCAGACAGAUCUACUCUUAAUAAUGAUGAUGAUAAUAAUAAUAAUAAUAAUAAUAAUAAUAAUAAUAAUAAUAAUAAUAAUUUAAAAUUCUUUGUGUCUGGUUUUGCCUGGGUGUGUAUCUGUGCACCACGUGUGUACAGUGACCAAGGAAGCCAGAAGAGGAUGUUGGAUGCCCUGCGACUGAAUUACAGUUGUGAACUACUAUGUGGGUGCUAGAAACCAAACUUAGGUCCUCUACAAUAGCAUCAAGUACUCUUAACCACUGAGGCAGCCCUUACUCUAUUCCUUUUUAACACCUGCUUAGUUGGAAUAUUUGACAGGACUUACAAACAGCUGGGCACAAUGGCGCUGGCCUUUAAUCUCAGGACGGCAGAGGCAGGUGAAUUUCUCUGAAUUCCAGACCAGCCACUGUACGUAGUCAGACCCUGGCUCAAAACAGAACAAACCAUAGCAAGCUAUUUUCUUGGACUAUGUCAAGCCUAUUUUUCUUCAGGUUCUAUUGAGACAAUGUAAUAUCUUGUCCAGCACUCAGGAGGCAGAGGCAGUGAAUCUCUGUGAGUUCAAGGACAAGCUCUGGGACAACCAGAGCUGUUACACAGAGGGGGGAAAAAGAGAGAAGAACUAUUACUGAUUCUGCUCACCAACUUGGCAAAGAAAUUUAAAAAACAUUUGCUGGCAGGGCUAAAGAGAUGGCUCAGUCAAUAAUGUGCCUGCUGUCUGAGUACCAGGACCUGUGUUCUCUCCUUGGCACCCAUGUAAAAAUCAGGUUUGGUGGCACUCAUCAGUAAUUCCAGCAUUCUGUGGGUGGAAACAGGAGGAUCCCUCGAGUUUGCUGGCCAGCCAGUCUAGCCUAAUUGGUGAGCUCCAGGCUCAGUGAAUGACCUUGUCUCGGUAAGAUAAAAAACAAUUGGGGUUGGGGAUUUAGCUCAGCGGUAGAGCGCUUGCCUAGCAAGCGCAAGGCCCUGGGUUCGGUCCCCAGCUCCGAAAAAAGAAAAAAAAAAAAAAAAAACAAUUGAAGGAAACAUCAACUGUUGGCUUCCAGCCCUGACCCAAGCGCGUAUAUACACAAUUGGUUUUAGCUAAAAUAUUAAGCCAGGUCUGGUGGCACACAUUUCUAAUCCCAGCGGUGAGAACGUAAACUUAAGUGGAUUUCUGUGAAUUUAAGGCCAGCCUGGUCUACAUAGUAAGUUCCACGCCAGCCAGGGGUAUAUAGUGAAACCUUGUCUCGGAAAAUCAUAUUUUCUGGUGAGGCGAAGACUAUCUCUACCUCAGUAAUCCUCAAGGGUUAACAAAUACGCAAAUUAAAAUAUGCCUGCUGUCAUUAGCUGUCACAAAAAUACAAAUGAGACCCCAGGUGUCCCUCCGAGUGGGAUUUUGAAAGGGACAACAUACUUGUAGGCCUUAUUGAAGACACAGAGAACUCACCGGUGAUAUCACACGGUCAGGUUGCCGUUUCGGAACUCUGGCGAUCGUUUAAGAACAUGAAGCAUAAGGCCACCUAUGACCCAACAGUUCCACUCCCGUGUACCCAGUAAGAACAUGUGUGCACAGUGAAGCUCGCAGCAGGAUUCUGAGCAGCGAGAGUGAGGACCCAACACAAGUAUCCACCAUGGAAUGAAUGCGGAAACAAAUGUCCAUAUUUUUGGGGGGAGACAGGGCUGACCCCCUGCCUACAACAGAAUCGUUUGGGGCUUGACUAACAUGCAUGAGGCCCUAGGUUCAGUCCCUAGUGCUGUCAAAGGGAAAAAAGAAAAUUAUUUUUUUUUCUAUUCUUUUUUUCGGAGUUGGGGACCGAACCCAGGGCCUUGCGCUUGCUAUGCAAGCGCUCUACCACUGAGCCAAAUCCCCAACCAGGAAAAAAGAAAAUUAUUUAUAAAACACGUCGGAGUCAUCAAAAUGGCUCAGCCUGUGGAAGUACUUGUGGUCCAAGCCCGAGGAUCUGAGUGCGAUCCCCAGAAUGCACAUAAAGAUGUGAGAAAGCCAGGCCACCAAGCUGCUGCCACCACAGAUGGUGCCUCCUUCCGUUAUGCCUUUGCAACUGUGAGGGACCUUUUCUGCUCGAAUUUGAGUCAAGUUAAAUCCUUCAUUUCUAAGGUACACCCACUUUCCGUAUUUCUUAGUGUCAACCAGUGAGAUAAUUCAUUCUUUGUAAUUUUCACGACCAGGACUGGAUUUUAAACUCAUCUGUUUCUCUCUUUGCUUUAUGUCCUGUUGUUUGGAAAUGAGGUCUCACUAUAUGGCCCAGGCUGAAGUGAACUGUAGCCCUUCCUGUCUUCAAAAUUACAGGCUCGAGGCAGCGGCUACGCUGGCCUUCUCCAUUCUUGGCAGGCACCCUGACUUAUCCUUAAUAUUUGACUUGCUGGCGUUUUCCAAUAAAAGUCUAAAGAAAAA